RNAcentral lists this transfer RNA (119 nucleotides) under Aeropyrum pernix. Its description in RNAcentral is "tRNA-Pro". The record is from RNAcentral. Lineage: Archaea; Thermoproteati; Thermoproteota; Thermoprotei; Acidilobales; Acidilobaceae.
GGGCCCGUCGUCUAGCCUGGCUAGGAUGCGGGGUACGGAGCAGAAGGUCCCGCUGGAGGGCGGGAGGCUCCGCCCGACUCGGGACCCCGUGGUCCGGGGUUCAAAUCCCCGCGGGCCCA